UUCACAGACCCCUAGUGGUGGCAGGCCACUCCUUCCUCUGGUUUCUGACAUGGCUGUUGUGGUUUGUCACUGCCACCUGUAGAUCAUGCAAGAGGCACCACAUUGCAAUUAGCUCUCUGCUGCCCUUAGCCCACACAAGAGGUGCCAGGCCACCCAUAGCCCACACAAGAAGUGCCCGGUCUCCUGCAGCCCAAGCAAGUGGCCUCUCACCAUCCAUAGCCUUUGCUGGAGGCACCCACCCUCGGAGAGCCUGCGUGUGCACAGGGAAAGAGAUUCCUAUGGCGGUCUGCCCCUCCUUCUCUGACCCUCCCCAACAAUGUUGCUUUGCUUCUCCUUCAGGCCCAGACCUUCUCCUGGGUUCCCUCAGCUGUGGCAUUCCACUCCCCAACCCAUGGCAUACUGCUCCCUAGCCCCUCAGGCUGUCUCCACACAGCCAAUCCUAUUCCUCUCCCCAGAACUGACCUCUGGAGCCUGAGUCUCAGCACCCAGCCCCAACCUGAGCAUAACAGGCUGUAGUGUCUGGGGUAGUGGUGCUGUGGUGUCUGUGCAGCUGUUAAUCUUCUUUGCCUUCCUCAGUCUAGCUGCUGCACUUUUCUCAGCAACUUUAGGUUCCUCCAUCUCAGCUGAUCUCCCUAUUGGUUCGGUGGCUUCCCAGGUUGUGGGUUCAUUUCCUCUUUCACAGCUCCCUCUCAGGAAUGCUAGUCCUAUCCUGAUUCCUUUUCUCUCUCUCUCUUUUUUCUUUUGUUCUACUUAGUUAUGUUGAGGGUUUCUUGCCCUUUUUAGAGGUUUAAGUUCUUCUGACAUCAUUCAGUAGAUGUUCUAUGUGAAUCAUUCUACAUGUAGGAAGGUUUUUUUUUUUUUUUUUGAUGUCUUUGUUGGAGGAGGUGAGUGCUAUGUCUUACUCCUCCACCAUCUUGAUCCUUCUCAGGAGUUCCCAUUUUAAAUAAUAUUGAGGCCAUCAGAUCCUUUACCUCCCACAUUUCAAUUAUUUAUGAAGUGACCUUGUGCUAGAAAUCUACCAUAUGUAGGAUCCACGUUGAACUAUAAUGAAUAAAAAAGCUAAUUGAAAAUGGAAUGCUAUCUUUGUUCAAAAUAGAUUGGUUAUAGCUUUUUUAGACAGUUAAAUCUAGAGGAGGCCAGUAAGGUUAGAUAUUCUUAACCUUGAGUCCAUUAUAUAUUGGGUGAGACUGAAUCCAUUGAAAUUUAUGCAAAAGUUAUGCAUAAACUGCAUAUCAGGAGAAGAUCAAUGCCAUUAAUCAGAUUAUCAAAAGGACACAUGGCACAAAGAGUUAACCAGUGAAAGCCCAACACUCUUUUUUACAGAAGAGGAAAUUAAGGUACAACAAAGAUGUGAUCUGAUAAAUUGUACAUUAAGACAAUGGCAGUGCCAAUGACUGGAAUCCAGUGUCCUAGACUUUUUUCAAUAUUCUUUUGCUGCAUGAUAGCACCUCCCAGUUUCUUGGGGGAAAAACAAAACAAAACAAACAACAACAACAACAACAAAAAGCCUUUAUUUUUGAAGUCAAGUAAUAACAAAUUAGCAAAGCAUGUUCUUCAAUGGAAAUAAGGUUUCAGACUCCAAUAAUUUUUUCCUCAGUAAUUAUUAGCAAUAACUUAAACAUUAUAAGGAAAUCCUUGGGGAUACUCAUGAAAUCAAGUAAGACAAUACCUGUACCUCAUGAAAGACUAUUUUAGAACAUUUUAAUUUAUUUUAUAUGCCAUAAUCCCACUACAGUCCUGGGAUUUGGAGAGCAUCUCUUAUGAGCUACAUUUUACAAAUAAAACUGGAAGUCAAAAAGCUUAAUUGACUUGCUUAAAAGUCUAGUCACCUGAAGAGGAAACCAGCUAUGAAACAAAAGCUUUUGACCUCUGGUCUUGAUCUGUAGUACGUGGCUUUGAAGUACCAAAAUGUACUUCUCUGAAUAAGGGAAAUGUAGCUAUAGAUGUGGAGAUAUUAGUGAUUUGCUGGUGGCAAAUAAAUGGUAGAUGAGCCAGAACUCAAAUUUAUGUUCCUGAAUUUUCUCUAACCACUAAUAAGUUUUAUAAAAAAAUUUUGUUUGUUCUUUUUGGGGAAAUAUUGAAAAUCUCACCUAGUGGAGGGGCAGGGUGGUGUUGGAUAAAGAGCACCAGACUAGGAAGACAGGGACUUGGGGUCUCACCCUGGCUCUGUCACCUGUCAGUUGUGACACCUUUGGCAAGUCACUUAACAGUUGGGCUCAGGUUCAUUUUGGGAAUUGGGCAGGUGAUCUUAACACUCUACACUCUUUCAAUAGAAAAAGUUCCUUAGAUUCUUCCAUCUGUAUGUGUGUAUAUAUGUAUCACAACCCAUGUUUUAAAUUCUACCUCAUUAGCAUUCUGGUGCCCUAUUUGCAGUUAAACAAACAAAAUGGACAUCUUGUGAGAAAUUUUGAAAGAAUGAAGUGAAUUUCGAAAGCUAAUUCUCUUAAGUUAAAAACAGCAAAUUACAAAGAAUGAGGCUAGUAUAAUUUCCUUAACACAGAGGUUUUUACAAAAGUCAAUUAAGAAUAGUGGGUCUUGGAGUUCCCUGGUGGCCUAGUGGUUAAGGAUUCAGCAUUGUCACUGCUAUGGCAGAGGUUCAAUCCCUGGCGCAGGAAAUUUCUGGAUGUCGCAGGUGUGGGCAAAAAAUAGUGGAUUAUGGGCUACUAAAAUAUUGAUUUGUAUACCUCUUUACUCCCAAUUCCAAUGUUCUUUGAGUCUGGGCAGAUCCUAUCUUCCCAAAGAUGCCAGGACAUGUUUGGGCACAUAUUCCUUCUUAGGCUCUGUUAUGUAUACAUUCACUCUCUUUGGUGGCAGAAGCAAAGAAAAGAUGUAUUAAGUUUUCUUUCAUAGAAUUAAAGUCAUCAAAAGUCAUCAUUUCUGUGAAAUCAGGGAGAAUAUGUUUUGGCUAAAUUACAGCUAUUAGAGUGUUCUCAUCGUACCUUGAAGCCGCCCUUAGCUUAGCAUGAGGAAAAUAAGUACAUUCUAGAGGUUAAAACAUAUUUCAAAUCUUUAAAAAAUAUGUAUUCAUUGGUGAACGUUUACUGUUUUAUUCUAAACAUUCUCUUCAUUCUUGAUUUUUACUACCUAUUUUUGAAGACACAAAAACUGAAAAUAAGCAGUGAUAAAAUAGAUGAAGUGUUUUAAAAUAAACGCAAAAUUAUUAUAAACUGCCAGAUAUUUAUGAUGCAGCCUGGCGUCAUAUGUCAAGUCGUUAGAGUUUUACAGUAAAAAGGUCAUUUAACUGAGAUGCAUAGAAAAACAAAGAAAACAAACCAAAAAACCCAAAUGUUUUCUUUUACACAAAUCUAUUCUGUUGUAAAGCUUUGUAUUCCUGAUCAGUUGUUAUAGGAUUCUUCUUCAGCCUUUUGAAAUGCAGACUGUGACAGGGGUUGGGCUGAGGAGCUUGAGGGAUCUAAGUGCACUAUGAUCUGGCUUGCAUAGUGAGAUGGACGUGUCAAAUAGCUCUAAGUAAACAUGUUUAAUCUUCUUUGAUGAAGGAGGGAUGUGGUUUUUAUCAAGGAAUAGGCCCUUAGAUUGGAAUAAAAGAUGCCUUAUAUAAAGACCAUUACUAUUUGCUUUUAUCAGUAUGUUGUAUUUUGCUUUAGCAAAUUUGAUUAAAUAAUUUCAUCAAUUAUUUUUCCCAAUGACCCUGUUUGGGAACACUCUCUUAAAGGUUAACACUGACCUACUUAAUAAUCAAAUCCAACAGCCUAUUCUCAUACCACUUGACACUUGUCUGAUUUGAUGGGACCUCUAUUCUCUAGCUUCUGGGAUGAUUUUCUCUUUCUGUGUUCUCUAACUGCCCUUUCUUUCCUAUCUCUGGCAGCUCUUCUAAUUCCACCUGUUCCAUAUGAGUUAAUAUUUCCUAGGAUUCUAUCUUUAACUUUCUUCUAUUUCAGCCCUCUCCCAUUCACUCCCAAAGUUUUCAACCACCGUUUGUAAGACACCGGUAACUCCCAAAUCCAUGACUCCAACUUUGGCCUGAGCUCCAGGCUUUCCUGAUCUCUAGUCUUGUUUCCAAAUAAAUCCUAAAUAGCCCCACUAGGAUAAACUGGCAUCCUCUCAAAUUCAGCAUGUCAAACAGAGCUCACUGUCCCCCCUUACUAUGGAAGGCAGCCUCCAAGAUGGCCACAAUGAUACCCAUUCCCGGUAUGCAAGCCUUUGACAGAAGGUGGAGUAUGGAUCUGAGUGCUGAGCAGUCUGUAAUUCUUUUCUCUUACUCUUUGAAUUUGUUCAGAAUCAUGUUAUCUGUUUUAUAAAUAUUUCAAGUUCAGGAAUCAUACCUUAAGUUGUUUUCAUGGUCACCUUGUCCUUAGAUACAUGCCUAAAAAUGUUAAUGAGGAGUUCCUGUUGUGGCUCAUUGGAUUAAGAAUCUGACUAUUAUCCAUGAGGAUGUGAGUUUGAUCCCAGUGUGUUAAGGAUCCGGCGUUGCCCCAAGCUGCUCAGAUCUGGCAUUGCUGUGGCUAUGGCAUAGGCCUCAGCUGCAGCUCUAAUUCACCCCAGAGCCUGGGAACGUCUAUAUGCUGCAGAUACAGUCC
Molecule: long non-coding RNA, 4538 nt
Filed under: Sus scrofa (pig)
Lineage: Eukaryota; Metazoa; Chordata; Mammalia; Artiodactyla; Suidae
Description: lncRNA (ENSSSCG00000041859.2)
Source: RNAcentral